Molecule: ribosomal RNA, 432 nt
Filed under: uncultured bacterium
Lineage: Bacteria
Description: partial 16S ribosomal RNA
Rfam family: Bacterial small subunit ribosomal RNA
Source: RNAcentral
AACGAACGCUGGCGGCAUGCCUAACACAUGCAAGUCGAACGAGACCUUCGGGUCUAGUGGCGCACGGGUGCGUAACGCGUGGGAACCUGCCCUUAGGUUCGGAAUAACUCCCCGAAAGGGGUGCUAAUACCGGAUAAUGUCUUCGGGCCAAAGAUUUAUCGCCUUUGGAUGGGCCCGCGUUGGAUUAGCUAGUUGGUAGGGUAAAAGCCUACCAAGGCGACGAUCCAUAGCUGGUCUGAGAGGAUGAUCAGCCACACUGGGACUGAGACACGGCCCAGACUCCUACGGGAGGCAGCAGUGGGGAAUAUUGGACAAUGGGCGAAAGCCUGAUCCAGCAAUGCCGCGUGAGUGAUGAAGGCCUAGGGUUGUAAAGCUCUUUUACCCGGGAUGAUAAUGACAGUACCGGGAGAAUAAGCUCCGGCUAACUCCGUG